This 356-nucleotide transfer-messenger RNA is filed under the name Bacillota bacterium. It matches the Rfam family "transfer-messenger RNA". From Rfam's summary of the family: Bacterial tmRNA, also known as 10Sa RNA or SsrA, is named for its dual tRNA and mRNA-like properties. Its role is to liberate the mRNA from a stalled ribosome. To accomplish this part of the tmRNA is used as a reading frame that ends in a translation stop signal. Lineage: Bacteria; Bacillati; Bacillota. RNAcentral also lists the same sequence under 2 other names. The record is from RNAcentral.
GGGGGUGUACUGGUUUCGACGGGGGUUUGGAGUCAUCGGUAGCGAGUCGUGUUUCGCUUGGUAACACGUAAAAAACUGGGCAAUUAAAUAUAAAUGCAAACGAAAAUUACGCAUUAGCUGCCUAAUAUAGCGGCAGCUCAUUUCUCCCUAGCCUCCCGCUGCUAGGACAGAAAUGUCAUCUUCGCGGGGAACGUCUUAAGGGGUGCCUUGAUCUUAAGUUGUACAAUUAGGGCUAGCCGAACCUGUAGUAUGUUAUUGGACGACAGGGAAGGCGAUAUUCAAAACAAUAACUACACUCGUAGAAACUGCUGAUAAAAGGCCUUCGGACAGGGGUUCAACUCCCCUCACCUCCACCA